ACGAGUUCACACUCGUGGCACAUAGCUCAGUAACACGUGGCCAAGCUACCCUUCAGUCAGCAAUACCCUCGGGAAACUGAGGCUAAUAGCUGAUACGAAACAGACGCUGGAAUGCACUGUAUUCCAAAGACACCGCUGAAGGAUGCGGCUGCGGCCGAUUAGGUAGACGGUGGGGUAACGGCCCACCGUGCCAGUAAUCGGUACGGGUGAUGAGAGUCAGAGCCCGGAGACGGAAUCUGAGACAAGAUUCCGGGCCCUACGGGGCGCAGCAGGCGCGAAACCUUUACACUGCACGAAAGUGCGAUAGGGGAAUCCCAAGUGCGAGGGCAUAUUAGCCCUCGCUUUUGUUGACUCUAAGGCGGUCAACGAAUAAGAGCUGGGCAAGACCGGUGCCAGCCGCCGCGGUAAUACCGGCAGCUCAAGUGAUGUCCCAUAUUAUUGGGCCUAAAGCGUCCGUAGCUGGCCGCCCAAGUCUAUCGGGAAAUCCACCUGCCCAACAGGUGGGCGUCCGGUAGAAACUGGGCGGCUUGGAACCGGAAGGCUCAGAGAGUACGUCCGGGGUAGGAGUGAAAUCCCGUAAUCCCGGACGGACUACCGAUGGCGAAAGCACUCUGAGAAGACGGCUUCGACAGUGAGGGACGAAAGCUCGGGUCUCAAACCGGAUUAGAUACCCGGGUAGUCCGAGCCGUAAACAAUGCUCGUUAGGUGUGGCACCCACUACGAGUGGGUGCUGUGCCGCAGGGAAGCCGCUAAACGAGCCGCCUGGGAAGUACGUCCGCAAGGAUGAAACU
Molecule: ribosomal RNA, 791 nt
Filed under: Halobacteriaceae archaeon IMCC8204
Lineage: Archaea; Methanobacteriati; Methanobacteriota; Halobacteria; Halobacteriales; Halobacteriaceae
Description: bacterial SSU rRNA
Rfam family: Archaeal small subunit ribosomal RNA
Source: RNAcentral